Molecule: ribosomal RNA, 253 nt
Filed under: uncultured bacterium
Lineage: Bacteria
Description: partial 16S ribosomal RNA
Rfam family: Bacterial small subunit ribosomal RNA
Source: RNAcentral
UACAUGGGGUGCAAACGUUGCUCGGAAUUAUUGGGCGUAAAGCGCACGUAGGUGGUUUGUUAUGUCGGAUGUGAAAGCCCUCGGCUCAACUGAGGAAGUGCAUCCGAAACUGGCAAGCUAGAGUAUGGGAGAGGGAAGUGGAAUUUCCGGUGUAGCGGUGAAAUGCGUAGAUAUCGGAAGGAACAUCAGUGGCGAAGGCGACUUCCUGGACCAAUACUGACGCUCAGGUGCGAAAGCGUGGGGAGCAAACAGG